CCCAAAAUCUUCUCCUUUGUAAUAUUUCUAGAAGAAAUAUUAAUUUGGUAGUGUCCGAGGACGUAAGCUAAAUUGGCCGAACCUCGUUAAAUCUCUGAAGAUCGAGAAGUUGCUGGUAGCAGUUCUAAUGUUUCCAAGAACUUCACUAAUAAGAAGAUCAAUAUUUAUCUUGAUGAAAUCAAUUAUCCUCUGUGAAAACAGCAGGUAUCUUUUGCUUUGGAGAGUUAUGGUUUGGAGUCUUACAUUGAUGGUACUCAGGCUAUACCUCCUAAGUUUGUUUCUGAUGAGUCUGGUCAUCUAGUUAAAAAUCUUGAAAGAGUUUCAUUUAAUAAACAAGAUAAAGACAUAGCAUCUCGGUUACUUUCCGUUGUCAGACCUGAGAUUUACCAAAUUUGGUCAUGUGUCAAUCGACUGCUGAAAUUUGGGAAGUCAUUGGUUAGUUGUAUUCUACUAAAACAACUACCAAAAGUAUGAGUCUUCGGUAUUCUUUGUACUCUCAAAAGAAGGGGGAUCAAAACAUGCGUGAUUAUUUAAGAGAACUUAAAUUGAUUAAGGAUAAUCUUGGCAUAUGUGGAGAAAAAAUAUCUGAUGCAGAGCAUAUUGCAACUAUUCUUAAUGGUUUACCUAGUGAAUUUGAUUCGAUGGUCACCUUAAUCACCACUAGCAGGCAAGCCUAUGAUGUACUUGAUUUGUCUUCGAUGCUGAUUGAUCUUGAAGCUAGGCAGAAGUUAGGUGCUAUGGUUGGGCUCUUCAGUGUAAAUCUUGUCACAAGUCAGUCUACUUCUCAUGGUGUAUAGUGUUGGAUCACCGGCACCCCUAUGGCGCAGCGAAAAAAUAAAACACCCGGCGAUCCUAACCACGGAUCCAUGUGUGAAGAACGAAUUGGGGUGAAAAAGGGUUUCAAAAUUAUCGAAUAGUGAUUCUGAGUAGACAGCGACGCCUCAACAAUGAGUAACCUGAUCUACUAUCGAAUCAAGCCGCAAUCUUUGAUGACCCCGACCUCUACAUAAUCCACCUAGUUGACUAUGAACGGAAGGAAUCCCCAAACAGUUUUGGAGAAGAUUUUGUUUUUACGGCUGCUAGACUCACCAAGCAAAGAAAAACGGGAUUUUAUAUCUUAUUAUUUUCUUUUAGGGUUUUUCAAAAUUAAAUAAAUAUAAUAAUGUUUAAAAAUAUCAAAAAUUAUAAUUACAUUAAUUAUAAUAAAGAUUUCGGUAAACUAUAUUUAUUUA
Long non-coding RNA from Gossypium raimondii (Peruvian cotton), 1232 nucleotides. RefSeq lists it as uncharacterized. NCBI's taxonomy places the organism in Eukaryota, Viridiplantae, Streptophyta, Magnoliopsida, Malvales, Malvaceae. The transcript is spliced from 2 exons. The record is from RefSeq and is a predicted model, not a curated record.